GUGUAUGGCAGUGGUCAGAUAGGUUGCUUCAGCCCUGCUAGCUGGAGCAGCCUCCUGUGUAUUUUACCAUCUACCAGUGGGGGCCUCCCUUCUGGUCAUAAAACCUUUGUUACACGGUGUUAUCUAGGUGUGUGUGGGGUUUCUGUAUCAUUGCAGCUUAUGGUCCGGGUCCCUGUGUGAUGUCUGUGUGUGCUGUCAUUGUUGGUGUCCUGAACUAACAGCACCUGCACAUGGGUUCCUGGUU
This is a long non-coding RNA of Bufo bufo (common toad), 244 nucleotides long. RefSeq lists it as uncharacterized. The transcript has 3 exons. The record is from RefSeq and is a predicted model, not a curated record. Lineage: Eukaryota; Metazoa; Chordata; Amphibia; Anura; Bufonidae.